Molecule: unclassified non-coding RNA, 377 nt
Filed under: uncultured Alphaproteobacteria bacterium
Lineage: Bacteria; Pseudomonadati; Pseudomonadota; Alphaproteobacteria
Description: contains 16S-23S intergenic spacer region
Source: RNAcentral
UCCGGCUUAACGCCGGCGGUCUCCCUAGAGUGCCCAACUGAAUGGUGGCAACUAAGGACGAGGGUUGCACUCGUUGCGGGACUUAACCCAACACCUCACGACACGAGCUGACGACAGCCAUGCAGCACCUGUGUGCAGGUCACCGAAGUGAAGAGAUCCGUCUCCGGAAAUCGUCCUGCCAUGUCAAGGGCUGGUAAGGUUCUUCGCGUUGCUUCGAAUUAAACCACAUGCUCCACUGCUUGUGCGGGCCCCCGUCAAUUCCUUUGAGUUUUAAUCUUGCGACCGUACUCCCCAGGCGGGAAGCUUAAUGCGUUAGCUGCGCCACCGACAAGUAAACUUGCCGACGGCUAGCUUCCAUCGUUUACAGCGUGGACUAC